Molecule: ribosomal RNA, 468 nt
Filed under: uncultured bacterium
Lineage: Bacteria
Description: partial 16S ribosomal RNA
Rfam family: Bacterial small subunit ribosomal RNA
Source: RNAcentral
GACGAACGCUGGCGGCGUGCUUAACACAUGCAAGUCGAACGGAAAGGCCCUGCUUUUGUGGUGUUCUCGUUUUGCGAACUUGUGUGUAACACGUGUGUAUCCUUCCCUUUUCUUUUUUAUAUCUUCAGGUAACUGGUUCUAAUACCGUAUAUGAUCUCCUGCUGCUUUGUGGUGUUUGGAAAGUUUCGGCGGUUGGGGAUGUACUCGCGUCUUAUCUGCUUGUUUGUGUGGUAGUGGCUUACCAAGGGUUUGACGGGUAGCCGGCAUGAGAGGGUUACCGGCCACAUGGGGACUGAGAUACGGCGCAGACUCCUACGGGAGGCAGCAGUGGGGAAUAUUGCACAAUGGGCGGAAGCCUGAUGCAGCAACGCCGCGUGCGGGAUGACGGCCUUCGGGUUGUAAACAGAUUUCGACUGUGACGAAGCGUGAGUGACGGUAAUGGGUAAAGAAGCACCGGCUAACUACGUG